Molecule: small RNA, 141 nt
Filed under: Arabidopsis thaliana (thale cress)
Lineage: Eukaryota; Viridiplantae; Streptophyta; Magnoliopsida; Brassicales; Brassicaceae
Description: ATSL277850
Source: RNAcentral
CACUAGCACGGCGAAUACAAGACCUUUUUUUUGUGACACUAUCAAUGGGUUCGAGUUGACUAUUCGGUUUCCGUCUCUGAGCCGAUUCUAGCGACUUGCUUGAUCCGCAAUAAAUCUCCCAAAAUGCUAAUUAACAUUUUU